This 1717-nucleotide long non-coding RNA is filed under the name Solanum lycopersicum (tomato). RNAcentral's name for it is "long non-coding RNA (SLYC_LNC000586)". Lineage: Eukaryota; Viridiplantae; Streptophyta; Magnoliopsida; Solanales; Solanaceae. The record is from RNAcentral.
GUUCUUCUAGCCAACAUGAUUUCUUGGAAGCUCUCCUUGAUAAUGGUCUUACCAAUGAUUGUAUCCACCAGUUAUUUGUGGUUUGUUCGCUCUCCUUCUCUCGAAUUUGCUUUCUGAGAUUCAAUUUCUGGUAUAAACUAAGUUAGUCUUUAUAGCAGUAUCUGAAAAAUGAAAAUCAAAGUAAUCAUGUUAGUCUUUGUGCAUAUAUGCUGUUAUACAACUAAUACCGAAGCAUUUAGCCUCCUUAGUACUUCUCUUUUUAAAGUUCAUAUAUUUAAGAAAGUUGGAGUUCUUUAUUCAGAUGUAGUGUAUGACAAGUAUUUCUUCUAACCAUGUGAAGGAGUUAGUCUCUGCUGGUUCAGACACCAGUACCUCAACAAUUGAGUGGGCGAUGGCAGAACUGAUAAAAAAUGUAGAGACAAUGAAGAAAGUUCAAGAGGAGCUCGAGAUAGAACUCAGUGAAAGUGAUUACCCAAAAGAAUCUCAAUUGCUGCAGAUGUCCUAUGUCCAAGCCUGUGUGAAGGAAACACUUAGGUUGCAUCCUCCAGCACCAUUUCUGCUUCCACAUCGUGCUAUCGAAACCUGCCAAGUGAUGAAUCACACAAUUCCUAAAGACGCUCAAAUCUUGGUUAAUGUCUGGGCUAUCAUGAGGGAUCCUUUGAUAUGGGAAGAUCCAGAGAUGUUUAGACCACAGAGGUUUCUGAGUUCCGAUAUGGACUUCAAAGGGAAUGACUUUGAGUUCUUACCCUUUGGUGCAGGAAGGAGAAUAUGCCCAGGCCUGCCAAUGGCUGCAAUAAUAAUUCCCUUAGUCCUUGCUUCGCUUGUUCAUUUCUUUGAUUGGGAGCUUCCUCACAGAGAACGUCCCACUGAGCUAGACAUGACUGAAAAGUUUGGAGUAACACUGCAAAAGAAAGAACCGCUGCUUCUGAUUCCCAAGCCCAGAAAAUGACCAUUGAGAUAUACAAUCAGUAUCUCUUAUCUGUGUUAUCCGUUGGAAAGUCUAUCUGCAUUAAAGAACGAUAGAAUGACAACCUACAAAGAAUUUGUUUACCUUUUCCCUCUGUACAGAAUGAACAACAGUUGUGUGUCUAUGACUAAAUGAAGAGCUUUGUCAAAAGAACAAUCAAUAAACUUGGCUGAUAAUAAGAGGAUGAACUUCCAUCAGCAUCAAGGGGUGCUUAAACGGGGACUGUGUGCAGCACUGUCGUCCUCUGCUUUGUGAUCCUGUAGUCCUCACAUGAAUACAUCUUCAACAGUUCCCUUUUGUGUUAUCCCUGUGCAUUAGAUACAAGUAUUUCUUGUCCUCCUGUAAUAUCGUGUAAUCAUAAACAGAAGUUCUUUUGGUGAUAAGAGACAAGUUAUAGUCCUAUUAAGACAAGAUCAUGUGUCAAGUUGCAUGAUUUCCAAGUAAAAAUGUUUCACUUGGGUGUACUCUCCUUACCAUUGAUGAGAAUGGAACAGUAUUCACAAGAUGAUUAUCACAAAGAUACAGAUGCUGAGAUGGAUGUGCUAAAGUAGUGGCAUAACAUUUUAGGCAGAACAGGUAAUAGCUAGAAGGAUGUCAUGAGCAUCACAAAAACCCAGAUAAUGAUUGUCUACUUAUUGUACAAGAGAUGUUUGAACCUGUUAAUUUUUUGAAAAAAAAUAAAGAAAUAAAGAUUGAAAGUUCACCUAUAUAAAAAAUGAAAUGCUCCAAUCAACCUACUAUAGUCGUUAG